AAUGAACGCUGGCGGCAUGCCUAACACAUGCAAGUCGAACGAGACCACCGGGACUAGUGGCGCAUGGGUGUGUCGCGCGUCGGAACCUGCACUUAGGUAUGGAAUAACUCUCCGAAAGGGGUGCUAAUACCGGAUAAUAUCUUCGGACCAAAGAUUUAUCGACUUUGGUUGGGCACGCGUUGAAUUCGCUUGUUCGUAGGCUAAAAGCUUACCAAGGCGACAAUCCAUAGCUGGUCAGAGAGGAUGCUCAGCCACACUGGGACUGGGACGCGGCCCGGACUCCUACGGGAGGGAGCAGUGGGGGAUAUAGGACAAUGGGCGGAGGGCUGAUGCAGCAAUGCCGGGUGAGUGAUGAAGGCCUUAGGGAAGUAAAGCUCUUUUACCCGGGAUGGUAAUGACGGUACCGGGAGAAUAAGCUCCGGCUAACUCCGUG
Molecule: ribosomal RNA, 433 nt
Filed under: uncultured bacterium
Lineage: Bacteria
Description: partial 16S ribosomal RNA
Rfam family: Bacterial small subunit ribosomal RNA
Source: RNAcentral